UACGGAGGGUGCGAGCGUUGUCCGGAAUCACUGGGCGUAAAGGGCGCGUAGGCGGCCUGGUAAGUAGGAGGUGAAAUCCUGCGGCUUAACCGCAGGGCUGCCUUCUAAACUGUCAGGCUCGAGCACAGUAGAGGCAGGUGGAAUUCCCGGUGUAGCGGUGGAAUGCGUAGAGAUCGGGAAGAACAUCAGUGGCGAAGGCGGCCUGCUGGGCUGUUGCUGACGCUGAGGCGCGAAAGCGUGGGGAGCGAACAGG
RNAcentral lists this ribosomal RNA (253 nucleotides) under uncultured bacterium. Its description in RNAcentral is "partial 16S ribosomal RNA". It matches the Rfam family "Bacterial small subunit ribosomal RNA", at positions 524 to 776 of the family's 1533-position model. The record is from RNAcentral.